AACGAACGCUGGCGGCAUGCCUAACACAUGCAAGUCGAACGAGACCUUUGGGUCUAGUGGCGCACGGGUGCGUAACGCGUGGGAACCUGCCCUUAGGUUCGGAAUAACUCCCCGAAAGGGGUGCUAAUACCGGAUAAUGUCUUCGGACCAAAGAUUUAUCGCCUUUGGAUGGGCCCGCGUUGGAUUAGCUAGUUGGUAGGGUAGAAGCCUACCAAGGCGACGAUCCAUAGCUGGUCUGAGAGGAUGAUCAGCCACACUGGGACUGAGACACGGCCCAGACUCCUACGGGAGGCAGCAGGGGGGAAUAUUGGACAAUGGGCGAAAGCCUGAUCCAGCAAUGCCGCGUGAGUGAGGAAGGACUUAGGGUUGUAAAGCUCUUUUACCCGGGAUGAUAAUGACAGUACCGGGAGAAUAAGCUCCGGCUAACUCCGUG
RNAcentral lists this ribosomal RNA (433 nucleotides) under uncultured bacterium. Its description in RNAcentral is "partial 16S ribosomal RNA". It matches the Rfam family "Bacterial small subunit ribosomal RNA", at positions 29 to 507 of the family's 1533-position model. The record is from RNAcentral.